ACAGUCCUGUAAUGUUUGUGACCACAUAAAAAACUGAACAAAUAUAGAUUUGGUAUGCCAAUAUACAACCUGAAUGAUAUGCUCAUAGUAAGCCUGAGAUUACGAGAAGGGAAGUUGAGGCAAUCCACCUGGAGCAAGUUCAGGUUUUCUAUACGGUUACGGCAUGGCGGGACUACA
Molecule: non-coding RNA, 177 nt
Filed under: Bacillus sp. BGMRC 2118
Lineage: Bacteria; Bacillati; Bacillota; Bacilli; Caryophanales; Bacillaceae
Description: 6S RNA
Rfam family: 6S / SsrS RNA
About the family: E. coli 6S RNA was the first non coding RNA to be sequenced, but its function was unknown until recently.
Source: RNAcentral